RNAcentral lists this ribosomal RNA (1551 nucleotides) under Staphylococcus aureus. RNAcentral's name for it is "16S ribosomal RNA". It matches the Rfam family "Bacterial small subunit ribosomal RNA". The record is from RNAcentral. Lineage: Bacteria; Bacillati; Bacillota; Bacilli; Caryophanales; Staphylococcaceae.
UUUAUGGAGAGUUUGAUCCUGGCUCAGGAUGAACGCUGGCGGCGUGCCUAAUACAUGCAAGUCGAGCGAACGGACGAGAAGCUUGCUUCUCUGAUGUUAGCGGCGGACGGGUGAGUAACACGUGGAUAACCUACCUAUAAGACUGGGAUAACUUCGGGAAACCGGAGCUAAUACCGGAUAAUAUUUUGAACCGCAUGGUUCAAAAGUGAAAGACGGUCUUGCUGUCACUUAUAGAUGGAUCCGCGCUGCAUUAGCUAGUUGGUAAGGUAACGGCUUACCAAGGCAACGAUGCAUAGCCGACCUGAGAGGGUGAUCGGCCACACUGGAACUGAGACACGGUCCAGACUCCUACGGGAGGCAGCAGUAGGGAAUCUUCCGCAAUGGGCGAAAGCCUGACGGAGCAACGCCGCGUGAGUGAUGAAGGUCUUCGGAUCGUAAAACUCUGUUAUUAGGGAAGAACAUAUGUGUAAGUAACUGUGCACAUCUUGACGGUACCUAAUCAGAAAGCCACGGCUAACUACGUGCCAGCAGCCGCGGUAAUACGUAGGUGGCAAGCGUUAUCCGGAAUUAUUGGGCGUAAAGCGCGCGUAGGCGGUUUUUUAAGUCUGAUGUGAAAGCCCACGGCUCAACCGUGGAGGGUCAUUGGAAACUGGAAAACUUGAGUGCAGAAGAGGAAAGUGGAAUUCCAUGUGUAGCGGUGAAAUGCGCAGAGAUAUGGAGGAACACCAGUGGCGAAGGCGACUUUCUGGUCUGUAACUGACGCUGAUGUGCGAAAGCGUGGGGAUCAAACAGGAUUAGAUACCCUGGUAGUCCACGCCGUAAACGAUGAGUGCUAAGUGUUAGGGGUUUCCGCCCUUAGUGCUGCAGCUAACGCAUUAAGCACUCCGCCUGGGGAGUACGACCGCAAGGUUGAAACUCAAAGGAAUUGACGGGGACCCGCACAAGCGGUGGAGCAUGUGGUUUAAUUCGAAGCAACGCGAAGAACCUUACCAAAUCUUGACAUCCUUUGACAACUCUAGAGAUAGAGCCUUCCCCUUCGGGGGACAAAGUGACAGGUGGUGCAUGGUUGUCGUCAGCUCGUGUCGUGAGAUGUUGGGUUAAGUCCCGCAACGAGCGCAACCCUUAAGCUUAGUUGCCAUCAUUAAGUUGGGCACUCUAAGUUGACUGCCGGUGACAAACCGGAGGAAGGUGGGGAUGACGUCAAAUCAUCAUGCCCCUUAUGAUUUGGGCUACACACGUGCUACAAUGGACAAUACAAAGGGCAGCGAAACCGCGAGGUCAAGCAAAUCCAUAAAGUUGUUCUCAGUUCGGAUUGUAGUCUGCAACUCGACUACAUGAAGCUGGAAUCGCUAGUAAUCGUAGAUCAGCAUGCUACGGUGAAUACGUUCCCGGGUCUUGUACACACCGCCCGUCACACCACGAGAGUUUGUAACACCCGAAGCCGGUGGAGUAACCUUUUAGGAGCUAGCCGUCGAAGGUGGGACAAAUGAUUGGGGUGAAGUCGUAACAAGGUAGCCGUAUCGGAAGGUGCGGCUGGAUCACCUCCUUUCU